UCCCUUGCUAGAUGGAGCUCCUUGAAGAAG
RNAcentral lists this non-coding RNA (30 nucleotides) under Homo sapiens (human). The record is from RNAcentral. Lineage: Eukaryota; Metazoa; Chordata; Mammalia; Primates; Hominidae.